This 141-nucleotide non-coding RNA is filed under the name Planomonospora parontospora subsp. sphaerica. RNAcentral's name for it is "Planomonospora sphaerica SAM-I sequence". It matches the Rfam family "SAM riboswitch aptamer (S box leader)". Rfam says of the family: The SAM riboswitch is found upstream of a number of genes which code for proteins involved in methionine or cysteine biosynthesis in Gram-positive bacteria. The SAM riboswitch acts at the level of transcription termination control. The record is from Rfam by way of RNAcentral. Lineage: Bacteria; Bacillati; Actinomycetota; Actinomycetes; Streptosporangiales; Streptosporangiaceae.
UGCUCAUCCAGAGGGGUGGAGGGACCGGCCCUGCGAAGCCCCGGCAACCCUCCCGGUUCAAGACUCGUGAUCUGACGAGGUCGGCCGGGACAGGUGCCAAUUCCGGUCUGUGACCAAGGUGGUCGCAGACGAAGAUGAGGG